CACUUCUGUUAAGGCUCUUCCAAGCACUGCAGCAUGAAGAUGCAUCAGGUAUCUAUGCACAGGGGUCUCAGAAGGACAGGAUGAAGUUCAGACAUAUUCACCCCUCAUACACCAAAGCAGCUGAAAGGUUCCUGUUACACAGCUGAUGCUUGUGCCCCUGCAUCUUACAGAAUAAAGAGAUGAGGACUGCAUACCGAAAGGUUAUUAACCAUCCGCUUUGACCAUCAGAGGGAAACACAGUAUGUGUAGAGCCUACACAUGGUGAUGAAGUCAAAUCUCUCCUGACUGCUCUCAGAGCGUGGCUGUCCUGCUUACCCCCAACAAGCUUGAGUUUUUUCUAGAAGCACAAUAAUAAUCCAGAUAAUAGACAAAAGCACUCCUCCUGUCUGGUUCCACUGAGUCCUCCCUCCAGUCCCUCAAGGAGUAAGACAUCCUUCUGUCUCUCAAUCACACUGGGACUGGCCCACUGCAAUCAGAAGAAAUGAUUUGACCUUCAAUUCAGUGAGCUGAUCCUCUAAUGUACGGCACAUUUUCUCCAAAUUAGCCUGUGAAGGCAAACCUUUACCAUCCCUAUUCUUUAUCAAUAGAGGAAAAUCAUCCCAACAUGCAGCAAGGAAAAAAAAAUUCCCUGAUGCCAAUUCCCAUAUUGUGGAAUACAGAAGUUGGAUCUGAAGUCUCAAUCUUAUGUAACAAUCAGAUGUGUCCCUGGAAAGCUGAGAUGAUCCAGAAGCAUCAGUUUUAUAGCAGAUGUCAAGCACGAAGGGAGGAACUUUGCCAUGGUAUUUGAUGAUUUUACUGCCUAAGACUAGAGAAUUCACCUCCGCACCAGACCUAUGCCACAUACAAUGUCACAGCCCAGUCAGUACUACACUAUGCCCUUUCUAUAAUCGUUACAAAGCAACCAAUUAACUUUUCACAAGCUAAGCUCUGUGAAUUCUGUGUAGCUGGGAGUCUUUUUUUUAAUUAGAAUUCUUACUAACCACCUAUCUAUCAUUCACAUGUUUAUCAACUCCGUUUUAUAACUCUACUGUGAGGUAGGUUAGGCUGGAAGUGAGUGACUUACCCAAGGCCAUCCAAACUGCAUGGCUGAAUGGGAAUUUGGACAUGACUACCUCCCAAAGCCUAAUCCAACACUAUGACCACUAAAGCACAACUUCGAACAUGUGGUUAAUUUAUACUGCAGGCUACUAGUUUCUGUAUCCUAAGAUGGCACUAUUUGCACAGACUGACUCUUUCAUGAAUGGUCAGGCUCUAUAAAGCAGCUGCUUAUUAAAGUACAUAAACUUUACAUACAAAUAUAUCCAUUUACACUUAAAAUCCAAAGACUUCUAACAUUAGUGGGCAAGUUACUUCUUCCAGUUUGAAAUCUUGUCCUUACAAAUAAAAUUGGGAAAGCUUUUCUGAGUAUUGUGGGGAAAAAUUGGCAUAUUUUUCACCAUAUAAAAUUAUUUCCAAGGUUGAAUGUGGCUUUAAGACCACAGAUUAGCCACAUCUGCCACAAUCAAGGCAAUAAGGUAAUAUGCUUUAAAAGUACACAUACACAUAUAUGGAAAUUGGCAAAGCAGAAAUUAUUAUUUUGUGUCUUUCUUCAACAAAAGGGCAUAGGAUUUAGCAACACAGUUCUGGCUUGUUUGCCACCUGAUAUGCUUCUGUGGAUGACAGCACUGAACUAUUACAAUUGCCAUCCUAAAAUAAACUAUGAUGGAUACAAACCAUUUUACAGCAUUUAUUUUAAUGACACAGUCACCCAUCUGUAGGGUUACCAGGUUUCCCACUACAGUGGGUAGGAUUGCCAGGACCCUCCUGGCAAUGGGAAGAUCUUGGGGGGCAAAUACUUAAAACAGUGAUUGGGUGUACAGGCAAUGACAUCACUUCUCACUCAAUCCUCCCUACCAAGCCGGCCAGGGUCUCCCGUCUCAAGGUCAACUCAAGAAAGAAAGUGGGGGAGGGGGAGAAAGGCUUUUAUUACUGCUUACAAAAACACUGCUGAUAUCCAUCACUGAGGAUCCCUUCAACACAGCCUGGCACUACUCGGCUCCCUGCAUGCAAGAUUUCCAUGUAAGAGAGCCCUCACUCUGAAAAUCUGCAAAUGGAUUAUUUACAUAAACAACCUGGGGCUAAACCAGGGGCCUCCCUAUGCCUACCCCACAGGGCUGUUGUAAGCAAACGGUCCAGUAGCCAUACUCAAGGUGGUGCCCCAUUAGAGAAUGGGGAAGGCCCCAGUGUUGAAGAAUAGCCAUCAUCCCACACACAUCCUGAUCAUCCCCCACCCCUUUUGGCUCACCUUCUUCUACUCAUCGACCAGUUGAGUGUCGGCAGGCAGCUGCAGGAAUCAAUGGGCAACGGCCUGCCAUAAGCAAGCACUGGGAACUCUAAUAGUUCUAGACUACUGUUAAUCUGGUUCAUUUCCCCUCUGUCACCUCCUGCCAUUUUCACCCUCCAUUUUCUAUUUUUUUCCCCACCAGCCUUUGAGGCACCAGUGAAAAAAUGGCUGUCUCCAAUGGAUUAACAAUGCUAUAGUACACUACUUGAUUUUAUCUUGUGCAAUGUAAUUAUUUGUUAUGUUUUAUGAAUUGAUUUUAUACUGGGACAGAAUAUAAUUUUACAUUAUAUUGUGCAGGAUGGUUCUGAAGUCCUGAUAACUUAUUUCUUCUUUAUACUUCAUGGGAUCUGUCAAUAAAAUAGUACUUAGUACCCUCGACAUGCCCCUGUGAUCAUGUUAGGGUAGACACUGCAACAAAAAGACAGAACAAGCAACAAGUUGCAUUGACUUGAGAAAAAGGAGUGGAACAAUGGAGAAGAGGUCCAGAGUAUUGUUGAA
Long non-coding RNA from Sphaerodactylus townsendi, 2821 nucleotides. RefSeq lists it as uncharacterized. Lineage: Eukaryota; Metazoa; Chordata; Lepidosauria; Squamata; Sphaerodactylidae. The transcript has 10 exons. The record is from RefSeq and is a predicted model, not a curated record.